AAGUCGAGCGGAUGAGAGGAGCUUGCUCCUGGAUUCAGCGGCGGACGGGUGAGUAAUGCCUAGGAAUCUGCGUGGUAGUGGGGGACAACGUUUCGAAAGGAACGCUUAUACCGCAUACGUCCUACGGGAGAAAGCAGGGGACCUUCGGGCCUUGCGCUAUCAGAUGAGCCUAGGUCGGAUUAGCUAGUUGGUGAGGUAAUGGCUCACCAAGGCGACGAUCCGUAACUGGUCUGAGAGGAUGAUCAGUCACACUGGAACUGAGACACGGUCCAGACUCCUACGGGAGGCAGCAGUGGGGAAUAUUGGACAAUGGGCGAAAGCCUGAUCCAGCCAUGCCGCGUGUGUGAAGAAGGUCUUCGGAUUGUAAAGCACUUUAAGUUGGGAGGAAGGGUUGUAAAUUAAUACUCUGCUGUUUUGACGUUACCGACAGAAUAAGCACCGGCUAACUCUGUGCCAGCAGCCGCGGUAAUACAGAGGGUGCAAGCGUUAAUCGGAAUUACUGGGCGUAAAGCGCGCGUAGGUGGUUCGUUAAGUUGGAUGUGAAAUCCCCGGGCUCAACCUGGGAACUGCAUUCAAAACUGUCGAGCUAGAGUAUGGUAGAGGGUGGGUGGAAUUUCCUGUGUAGCGGUGAAAUGCGUAGAUAUAGGGAAGGAACACCAGUGGCGAACGCGAC
Molecule: ribosomal RNA, 673 nt
Filed under: Pseudomonas sp. 64C2
Lineage: Bacteria; Pseudomonadati; Pseudomonadota; Gammaproteobacteria; Pseudomonadales; Pseudomonadaceae
Description: bacterial SSU rRNA
Rfam family: Bacterial small subunit ribosomal RNA
Source: RNAcentral